GCUAGUCCGAGGAGUACAGGUAUUUUUAUUUUAAUUCAUCGGAAAUUUCAGUCUGUGUGCAUGUUUAUCAGAGAAGUUGUGCUUUUAACUCUAGCACAAGAUUUCAUAUAUAAUUUUGCAUGUUAUCUAUUCUAAAAUAUCUCAAUUGAAAGUUCUUUCGGUUUCAGCUAUGCUAAUUAUUUUGGCAAAUGUUCAUGUAGCUAUCUUUAUUGAGUUUAUAUAUUAUAUGAUAUUAAUCUGGCCUGCUUGUCUUUACUCUUCUGCUUAUGUUGCCCACUGUCAAUGAAAGUUUGUAAAAAAGGUUCUGUAACUUUUCUGAAAGCUUUUGAUUAAGCUGCAAUACACAUAUGUAGGUAUUGUCUGCAAAAGGCCAAG
RNAcentral lists this unclassified non-coding RNA (375 nucleotides) under Hevea brasiliensis (rubber tree). The record is from RNAcentral. Lineage: Eukaryota; Viridiplantae; Streptophyta; Magnoliopsida; Malpighiales; Euphorbiaceae.